RNAcentral lists this ribosomal RNA (1511 nucleotides) under uncultured Chloroflexota bacterium. RNAcentral describes it as "uncultured Chloroflexi bacterium partial 16S ribosomal RNA". It matches the Rfam family "Bacterial small subunit ribosomal RNA". The record is from RNAcentral. Lineage: Bacteria; Bacillati; Chloroflexota.
AGAGUUUGAUCCUGGCUCAGGAUGAACGCUAGCGGCGUGCCUAAUGCAUGCAAGUCGAACGGUAGGGGUAGAUUUCGGUCUACCUUGAGAGUGGCGGACGGGUGCGUAACACGUUGGUGACCUGCCCUGGAGAGGGGGAUAACGCGGCGAAAGCCGUGCUAAUACCCCGGAUGUCAAAGAGAUUAGAGGCUCAUUGACUAAAGGUUGAGGCUAGAGAUAGCCGAUGUGCUCCUGGAGGGGUCUGCGGCCCAUCAGCUAGUUGGUAGGGUAACGGCCUACCAAGGCAAAGACGGGUAGGGGGCGUGAGAGCGCGACCCCCCACACUGGUACUGAAACACGGACCAGAUACCUGCGGGUAGCAGCAGCAAGGAAUAUUGCGCAAUGGACGAAAGUCUGACGCAGCAACGCCGCGUGGAGGACGAAGGUCUUCGGAUUGUAAACUCCUUUUCUGGGGGAAGAACAGGUGGGUUUCGGCCUGCCCUUGACGGUACCCCAGGAAGAAGGCCCGGCUAACUACGUGCCAGCAGCCGCGGUAAAACGUAGGGGCCAAGCGUUAUCCGGAAUUACUGGGCGUAAAGCGCGUGCAGGCGGUUCUGAAAGUCGGACGUGAAAGCUCCCGGCCCAACUGGGAGAGGCCGUUCGAAACUAUGGGACUAGAGGAUGUAGAGGCAAGUGAAUUCCCGUGUAGUGUGAAAUGCGUAGAUAUCGGGAGGAACACCAGCGGCGAAGGCGGCUUGCUGGGCCCAUCACUGACGCUCAGACGCGAAAGCCAGGGGAGAGAACGGGAUUAGAAACCCCGGUAUUCCUGGCAGUAAACGAUGUCAACUAGGUGUAGGGGGUAACCAAGCCCUCUGUGCUGCCGCAAACGCAAUAAGUUGACCGCCUGGGGAGUACGGCCGCAAGGCUAAAACUCAAAGGAAUUGACGGGUCCCCGCACAAGCGGCGGAGCAUGCGGCUUAAUUCGAUGCAACCCGAAGAACCUUACCUGGGUUUGACAUCACGGGAAAAGCUGUAGAAAUACAGUGUCCAUUAGGGCCCGUGACAGGUGGUGCAUGGCUGUCGUCAGCUCGUGUCGUGAGAUGUUGGGUUAAGUCCCGCAACGAGCGCAACCCUUGUCCUAUGUUGCCAGCGGUUCGGCCGGGGACUCAUAGGAGACUGCCGGGGAUAACUCGGAGGAAGGUGAGGACGACGUCAAGUCAUCAUGCCCCUUAUAUCCAGGGCUGCACGCAUGCUACAAUGGCCGGUACAACGGGCAGCGACCCCGCAAGGGUGAGCGAAUCCUAAAAAGCCGGUCCUAGUUCGGAUUGAAGUCUGCAACCCGACUUCAUGAAGCCGGAGUCGCUAGUAAUCGCGGAUCAGCAAUGUCGCGGUGAAUACGUUCUCGGGGAUUGUACACACCGCCCGUCAAGUCACGGAAGUCGGCAACGCCCAAAGUCAGUGGCCUAACCUUCGGGAGGGAGCUGCCUAAGGCGGGGUCGGCAACUGGGACUAAGUCGUAACAAGGUAGCCGU